This is a non-coding RNA of Sturnus vulgaris (Common starling), 2606 nucleotides long. The record is from RefSeq and is a predicted model, not a curated record. Lineage: Eukaryota; Metazoa; Chordata; Aves; Passeriformes; Sturnidae.
CUGAAACCCUCCGGGUGCUGCUUCAAGGAACGUAUGGAUACACCUCUGAGACCCCUUUCCAGACUCCAUUCUCUUCUGGGCCGUAUUUGUAAAUGCCACAGAUCUGCCAACUUUUAAGAUCUCUUUUCUCCUUUCCUCAUUGAGCUUUUGAAUAAUGUUGCUUUCGCCGAGCAUCAUUCCCUUCAUCCCCGCUUUUAAGCAUCCCUCAUCUGCUGCUGUUAAUCCCAAACCGUUUGUUGUUGGUAUGCUUUGGAAGUAUUUUGGCAAAACAUAAAUGUUUUUUCAUCCUUUUGAGAUAUCUCCAUUUUAACUAGAAGUGUUGGACUAUAGGAAGUGCAGGCCUUAGUUUGGAUUCUCUUUUGACAUGUGUAUCAUUUUAUUAUCAUAUUCCUAAACUGCUGCUGGGCAGAAAAAUGACUUUUACUCAAACUGUGUUUUCCAGCACCACCCUGCAUAGAUGGGUGUUUCUAUGUGAAUUGCAUGGUUUUGCUGCAACAUUUAUAUCAAAUCCAAAUUCAGAUGCUUUAGUUUUAAUGUUUAUUUCUGUUUUGUAGGAUUUCUCUUUUUUGUAAGUAGGACCUGUGCCCUGAAGGCUUUGCUACAUAAACUGCUAUCUGCAAAGGGCUAUUGCUUACCUGAUUCUACUUGAAGAAAAUUGCUGUGAAGUCUUUCUGAGAGCAGCAUCUCUCUGGCAUAGCAUCCCUUAAUCACUUACUGGCUGUAUUAUCAAUGCUCUGCUGGAUAUUCAUGGGGUAUUCUGAGCUGAGACAUGCUUGAUUAAAAACCAAAGCAAAACAGAUUCUGUUAUCCAGCUACCUAGCUGGAGAAGUGGGACUAUCUGAGAGGUAUUCCUGGAGCAGAAGGUUCUCUCCAUUCUAUGUCCUCUCUCAGUCACGAUUCUCCCACUGAGAGAUAGCAGGAAGAUUAUGUUGAAUGUGAAUCAAGGCUAGGUACCCUCUUACCUUUCCUGGCACAAAGGAUCUUGGGUGUGUCUUCUGUGGUUCUCACCAUGGCCAAGGCUUGUUGGAUGGUGCUGAUCAGAAAUUAAAAACACCAGUCCCAUAUGGACCCCUGAGGACCACUGGUCACUGAUGUCCAUCACGACUCUGAGCUGUUGACCCCAAUCCUCUGAAUAUCCCAGCUGGCAUUUGCUUCAUGUGGACAUAAGCAUGUGGACAAAACGCAGAAAGUUUUCCAAGUCCAUUUCAGAAUAUCAGAUGCCCUAAAAAGUUUGAAAGGACUUAUCAGUCAGCAGCUUUGGAAGAGCAUUUCAAACCCACCACCAAAUUAAUGGGUCAGCUAUAUAGGAAGAGUAAGGGAACAGAUGGCAGAAAUUUCCCAAGGGAGAAAAGAGAAUUACUAGAGAAGAUCAGGAUCAGACCUGCACAGGUGAUCAUGAAAUCGAAAUGCCUGGAAACUCAAUUUCUCAAGGUCGAUAUAACCCAUGCCUAGGAAACCAGUUUCUCUGAAUUCUGAAACAAUUGGGAAAACAUGAGAAAACUGGGAGGUGCUGGAGGACUGGCAAGAGUGUGCAAUGUCAGUGACGACCUAGAGAGAAUCCAAGUACACCAGAGUCUUGUCAGCUGGGUGUUUUCUAUGUAACUUGAGUUUCUGCAUCACACUCGCUGCUGGAGUAUCUGAGCACCUUCAGAAAAAACAGUCAAGUGUCUUUGCUCUCUCAGCUUCUCCUCCCAGGAGAGCCAGUGUUUCUUGGAGGGGCUUGUUUUUGUAGAAUCUUUUUAUUGUUAUUAGUGUGUAUAUUAUAGAAUAUUUGUUGCAACACGAUGAACUGAGAGAGGUGUCUUGUGCCUGAAGUGGAAAAUCGUAGGCUGGGGAGGAGACUGCAUUUCUCAGUAGCAGUUGCUCCUGGACUAGGCCUAGUUAGACUGGAAUUGCUGGAGAUUUAACAAAAUAAGGACAGGAAUUCCUCCUCCCUAGCAUAGCUGUUGAUGUUAUGUCCAGCUGAUUUGUGCCUGCUUUCUCUCUGCUUUGGUGAUAAAAGACCAUUUUCAAACAAUGACCACCAGACUCCAGCUGCACAGACCAAUGCAGUUUUGUGCCAGUCCCACUCUAACAACCAGAUUUUGUGAGAUGUCCUGUUCCUAAUGCCAGGGGAGCUAAAUACCUAACAUCUUUAAAACCUGUGUUAACUUUAUUCCAGUUUUGCCCAGUGUAUCCCUGGGCUUUUGCACCAUUUAGAUAAAUACUGUAGUAUGAAAAGAGGAAAUAUCCACGUGGAGGAGGCUGGAAAAGAAGAGCGCAGUGAAAGAGUGGUUUGAUUAUCCAUAGUCAGCACAAUUGCCUGUGAAAUACUGUGUCUGCCAAAGAGAAUUUGUUUUGUUUUGGCUUCUCUGAGGAAAUGGAAAGAAUUUUGAUGGAUGGAUAUUGGGAUUAAAAUUAAAUUUACAAAUCCUAUGGAAUAAGUGGAUAUUAUAAAUGUAACACAGGAUGAUCAAGCUUAUUCAGUGCUGAGGAGCGGGGUUCUAGUUUUAGGGAGCCUCUUCCAGACCAGCAUCCAGAGUGUUAUGUUCAGAACAGUUCCUUUUCCUCUCAUCUUAGUGGGUGUCUUGCUAAGGAAAGCAUGAGCUCCAGGAUUUAAGUCAGAA